This is a non-coding RNA of Motacilla alba alba, 1201 nucleotides long. NCBI's taxonomy places the organism in Eukaryota, Metazoa, Chordata, Aves, Passeriformes, Motacillidae. The record is from the annotation of a RefSeq genome assembly.
CCGGCGCUGCCCCGGCGAGGCGGGGCCGGGCGGGAGCGGCCCGAGCGCGGCUCCGCUCGGCUCCUGUGCGGCUGCCGCGGGGCCGGGGCCGGCAGCGAUGGUGGCCGCGCCGGGGCCGCGGCUGCUGGCCUUGGCCUUGGCCCUGUGGCCGGCAGGGCUCGGGGCACAGCCGAGGCUGCAGGAGGCCGGCGGAGGGCUGCGAGCGCCCGGGGACUCCGUCACCCUCUCCUGCCGCGGCUCCGGAUACCCGUUUAGGAGUCAUGGGAUUUAUUGGUACCGUCAGGCACUCGGAGGCAGCCUCGACAGUCACUGGCCAGGUGGCCUUGGAGCAGCAACCCAGGGGAGUGACCGUGCAAGAGGGAAAAGAAGCCACCUUGCAGUGCAGCAUGAACGGAGGUUUCCCUGUUCCUUUUCAGCUUUGUAACUUGCAUCCUGGAGAGGACACCGGGUUUUCCUCAACACUCCUGUAGCACAAGUUAUUUCUGGAAGUUCUCAGUGACAAAGCUGUGAAAGUGAAGAGCUAACUGCAAUAUUCUCCUGUAUACAAGAAGGAACAGUGCCUGAGAGUGGGAGCUCUGACCACAGGGCUGGUUUGUCCUGGUCAGCCACCUCCAGGCAGCUCUUCCCAGGUCUGAAUAGCCCAUAACAAGAGAAAAUCAGUAGAUGAUUUAAACUUGAAUGAAACCAGACAUUGAACCAUGUGCAGUAGUGGAAUCAGUCAGAAUUCUGGAGAAAUUCCAGCCCCUGCAUGGGGCCAGAGUUUCAAGGAAUGAACUUUCCUGCAUCACUCGUAUGCAGCACCUGCACGACACCAGGGUGUAGGGAUCCAGCACAGGAGAAGCACUCAGGGAUUAUGUGAGCAAGAGCUGCUUAUUAGAUCUGAGCUGCUUUUCUGUGCAGCAUAAUGUGCCAUGGACUAGGUGAGGGCAGAGCCGUGUGCUUAGCUAAAGUAUAAAAGAAUAAAUUCCCUUCACGAUAGUAUGGUCAGCAUCAUUGUGUCCGUGCUCAGGUGAAAAACAAUUGACGCGGCAAAGUGGGGAGUCAAGAUGUGUCGCCAGUACUCGAGCGUGGCCCCAGCAGUGCGGAGGAGCGAGGAGCCAUGCCCUCCCUCAGCUGCGGGCAGCCUUCAGCCCGCGGCAGCCCCGGAUCCCGGUGACCUUGUGCGCUACGAGGGCGAAUUCCUGGGGGCGCUGGCCCCGGG